UACGGAGGGUGCGAGCGUUGUCCGGAUUGACUGGGCGUAAAGCGCACGCAGGCGGCCGCGCGCGUGGGGUGUGAAAUCUGGCCGCUUAACGGCCAGGCGCCAUCCCAUACGGCGCGGCUGGAGCCAUGCAGAGGGCGGUGGAAUUGCCGGUGUAGUGGUGAAAUGCGUAGAGAUCGGCAGGAACACCCAGGGGGAAACCAGCCGCCUGGGCAUGCGCUGACGCUGAGGUGCGAGAGCGUGGGGAGCGAACCGG
This 253-nucleotide ribosomal RNA is filed under the name uncultured bacterium. Its description in RNAcentral is "partial 16S ribosomal RNA". It matches the Rfam family "Bacterial small subunit ribosomal RNA", at positions 524 to 776 of the family's 1533-position model. The record is from RNAcentral.